Molecule: ribosomal RNA, 324 nt
Filed under: uncultured eukaryote
Lineage: Eukaryota
Description: partial 18S ribosomal RNA
Rfam family: Eukaryotic small subunit ribosomal RNA
Source: RNAcentral
CCCUUAGAUGUCCUGGGCUGCACGCGCCCUACACUGAUGUGUCCAGUAAGCACCUAACCUCUUCCGAAAGGAACGGGUAACCUUUGCAAAGCACAUCGUGAUGGGGAUAGAUUAUUGCAAUUAUUAGUCUUGAACGAGGAAUUCCUAGUAAGCACAAGUCAUCAGCUUGUGUUGAUUACGUCCCUGCCCUUUGUACACACCGCCCGUCGCUCCUACCGAUUGAAUGUUCCGGUGAGCUCUUCGGACUGCGCGGUCUGCAGUUUCUGCGUUCCGUGCGGAAAGUUGCGCAAACCUUAACAUUUAGAGGAAGGAGAAGUCGUAACA